GAGUCGAGUUAUUUGGGACUAUAGCUCUAAUAGUUUGGUUGGUGGUAAUGACACAUCAAAGGCUAAAUAUUGGUUAGAUCGAUGCAUAUUGCGGAGACCGAUAGCAUACAAGUACCGUAAGGGAACGAUGAAAAGCACCCUAUUGAGUUCACGGCGCAGACUCGAUGCGCGGUUCGCCGCGUGACCUGUCCAGUGCCCAACAACUACAGUGGGAGUGAAAGAGAGAGUGAAAUCGCCUAUACAUAAAAUAUAUGCACUACACGCAGUAACUGCAUGCAGUCUGCGUUAGUACAAUCGGACAGAGUGUCGUAUCAUUGUAUGGCCGCCUAAUACAUAACACACACACAUUACACUGUGUAUUAUGGUCAGGCCCAUAGCUGGGUUCGCCCGCUAUACGCGACACAACUGUACGACCCGUUUUGAAACACGGACCAAGGAGUUCAACUGGAUUACGAGUCGUCGAGUAACAUCUAAUAUGUACACUCACACGGCACAGCGAAAGCAACUUAAUCCUUUUACAGUGCUAGGUCGGCCGUCAAAAGCUGACCGCAGCACGCGCUGAGUGAGUAUAUGCGUGAGGGCCUCGUGUCAACGCGCGUACCUGUACGCCUUUGUGUGAACAGGAUCACUCAAGCGUUCAACGAGUAUAUCUUGUUGAGACCCGAAAGAUGGUGAACUAUGCUCGGAUAUGGCGAAGUCAGGUGAAAACUUGAUGGAAGCUUGCGUUGUGCGGAACUGACGUGCAAAUCGUUACCGCCUAACCUGAGUAUAGGGGCGAAAGACUCAUCGAACCAUCUAGUAGCUGGUUCCCUCCGAAGUUUCUCUCAGGAUAGC
This 834-nucleotide ribosomal RNA is filed under the name Ammonia sp. AmmJ2. RNAcentral's name for it is "partial 28S ribosomal RNA". It matches the Rfam family "Eukaryotic large subunit ribosomal RNA", at positions 262 to 982 of the family's 3401-position model. The record is from RNAcentral. Lineage: Eukaryota; Foraminifera; Rotaliida; Rotaliidae.